Long non-coding RNA from Oreochromis aureus, 1419 nucleotides. RefSeq lists it as uncharacterized. The record is from RefSeq and is a predicted model, not a curated record. The transcript has 3 exons. Lineage: Eukaryota; Metazoa; Chordata; Actinopteri; Cichliformes; Cichlidae.
UUUCUUUGACAUUCAACUCUCACUUAGCCCCCUCCACUGCCAAGAAAUUCUCUGUGCACACGGCUCUCUGCAUUGCCAUAGAAACCUUCCUUUUAAUCACAACAGAAACCUCAUUUCCUGCUCCUGACAAAGACUCCUCAUUGCCUGUAGAGACCGCCCUGCAUCAACCAUUUCCAAAGCCCACCUCCUUCUUCAGAUCUCAACCUACCAGCAGCAGCAGCCCUCCCUUUUUUCUUUUUUUACCCCUCCUCUCUUUAUAAGCACAUUUUCCACCUUUUCUUGUCCUUUAGCUCAACUGCCAUUUUAUACGUCUUUACAUUUUUCUUCAUCUCUCCUUUUUUUUUUAACUUCCUUUUUUUUCCUUUCUUUUUUUCUGCACUCUUUGGUUGAGGCUAUUUCAUUCAAUUCAACUCAACUUCAGUUGGAUUCAAAGAUCUGUUCCUAGAAACACCUACAACACCCACAGUCAUGCAAACGAGAACAUGCAGCCCCCCUCUUUCCUGUCCCCCUGUGUGCAAGUCCCUCAUCUCAGCUUUGGUUGCCGUGCAGAUGGCUCUUUGUUGGUGCUUCACAAUGGGUCUAAGGCACCGCAAGGUUGAGCAACAGAGCCAUGAGGUCUCGAGGCCAGUGUGAAGCAGUAAAGAGCAGGUAGAGUGAAAGGCGGGAAACUAGAAGGAGGAGGAGCAUUGCUUGCAAAGCAGCAGGAAUUACUGGAAAUUUCCACUUUUCUCUGGCGACUGUUACAUGGGUGGAGCUACAGAGGUGAAAUAAAUAAGGUAGAAGUGUAUGAGUUAAACUCAAGUGGUGAGGCUGGAGGAAAGCAUGUCCUCCACCUUCCACUGUUAGAUGUUAUGUUUAGGAAGCUCAAUAUGCAUUUUUGUAGAUCUUCAUAGUAUACCAGUGCUCUCAGUUGUUUUAACUUUACCUGCAGCACAGUUUCCUGUUUUAUGUGUACGAUCUCAUAACAGAUGUAAACAGAUGUUUGCAUUCUUUCUUAUAAUGCUUGUUCUGUCAUGCAUCCUUUUUGUUUAGUACUGCACUGAGAGAAAAUGUGCCAGCAUGUCCUGCUGCUUCUUCAUUGGAAUAAUAAUUUCUCAAAAAUGGCUCCUAUGUUCAGUUUCUGAUAAUUAUUUGGAAAAGAAAGCAACAGGAAACUGUGGACGAUUACACAGCAAACAGAGAUAUGUUUUCAGACAGAUGACUUACAUGAAGAGUUCCUGAUAAACAGAGCACAGUGUCCUUGCCUCUGCACCAUUAUUACAGUACAUCUGCACAUCAUAUCAGUCGUACAUUUGUUCACUCAUUGAUUUUUUUGAGUGCUUUUAGGCGUCAGAUGCACACCAUAACCAUUAGCGUACCCCAGGUGAUCUUCUUUUGCCCAUCAGCUUUCUUAAGCAUGUUCACCUGCCAUGCUAGCUG